RNAcentral lists this ribosomal RNA (467 nucleotides) under uncultured bacterium. Its description in RNAcentral is "partial 16S ribosomal RNA". It matches the Rfam family "Bacterial small subunit ribosomal RNA", at positions 28 to 507 of the family's 1533-position model. The record is from RNAcentral.
GAUGAACGCUGGCGGCGUGCUUAACACAUGCAAGUCGAACGGAAAGGCCCAAGCUUGCUUGGGUACUCGAGUGGCGAACGGGUGAGUAACACGUGGGUGAUCUGCCCUGCACUUCGGGAUAAGCCUGGGAAACUGGGUCUAAUACCGUAUAGGACCACAUUUUGGAUGGUGUGGUGGAAAGUUUUUCGGUGUGGGAUGAGGUCGCGGCCGAUCAGCUUGUUGGUGGGGUAAUGGCGUACCAAGGCGUCGACGGUGAGCCGGCAUGCGAGGAUGGAGGGACACAUUGGGCCCCUGAUACGGGCCACAGUCCGAAGGGGGGCAGAAGUGGGGAAUAUUGGACACUGGGCGCAAGCGUGAGGCAGCGACGCCGCGUGGGGGAUGACGGCGUUUGGGUUGUAAAAACCUCUCGCGAGUGACGAAGCGUUUUUGUGACGGUACCUGGAGAAGAAGCACCGGCUAACUACGUG